RNAcentral lists this long non-coding RNA (1142 nucleotides) under Gossypium barbadense (sea-island cotton). RNAcentral's name for it is "long non-coding RNA (GBAR_LNC020938)". The record is from RNAcentral. Lineage: Eukaryota; Viridiplantae; Streptophyta; Magnoliopsida; Malvales; Malvaceae.
UUUUUUUUUCCAUUCUUUUCCUUUCCUUUACUUACUUUUUUUUUCCUUUACAAAUAUUUACUUUUCCUUUUCUUUUUAUCCAUUCUUUUCCUUUUUUUUUUGUCCAUUACAAUUAAUAAAUCUUGUAAAUUUGCUUUUGACCCUAGGCCGUUGGAAGCUAGUUAAACUUUGAAAAAAUAAAUUGUUUCUAAGCCUCAAAUCAUUUCUUUUUUAAUGUUAAAAAUUCUCAAGCCCAAUUUUUGUUCAAAGCCCAAUUUCCAAGUUUGCUUCAUUUUCUUUGACCCAAAAUUAAUCAUUUGCAAGACACAAGGCUAAAAUAAUUUUCUUGAUCGUUUUAAAUUCGGCCUAAAGGCCCAUAUUUAUUUUUUUUUCUUUUUCUUUUUUUUAUCUUUAUAGCUAGGGUGUUGUACCUAGCUAACUGUUGCGGCCGGUGGAAGAAAGAAUCAAGAUUGCAAUUUUAUUCAUUUUGGCAACCGAUAGCCCCAGUACUCAGCAUAAGGGUAAAUUGGUAAAAAGAAACACAAUUUUUGAAAUUUUACAAACAACAAAAAUGGAUUAAACAACCAAACGAACAGAUUACAGAUUGAGCAAUACAGGAUUAGCAAUAAACGAGAUUAGCACAAACUAGUAUAUAGACUACAAAAGACAAAAACCCUAGGUUAGCAGACCAAGAAAAAAGCAAAAUAAAAUUAAAAGGAAAGAAUCCUAGAAAAAUAGAGACAAAGUAGUAAGCAAAGGAAGAGGCCCUUUCGAAGGUAUUCAUUCGAAGGAGAGAAUUAUGGAAGAAAAACAGUUUGACAAUGUCGGCUUUUUCUUCUUUUUUUUUUUUAAAAAGAAGAGUACGGGGUUUAAAAAGUGGCUUGUUUUAUUUAUUUUUUAUAUUGAGUCCACCGUGAAGGAGCUCCAGCGCCGGAGACAGGACGGUUCUCCGGUAAAGGAGCUAAACCAGAGACCGAACAAAAAGACCGAAAAAGACAUGAAAACAGAAAAGAACUAAAAGAAACAAAACAUUUUUCAAAAAAAGUUUUUAAUAUACCGGCCACCGUGCUCCGCUACUGGAGGCCGGAGAACCCUUGGGUUCUCUGGCGGGGGAGCUUGCCGAGAAGAAGACCAGACAAUAGAGAAAAAGAGAGAGAUAGUCA